This 205-nucleotide unclassified non-coding RNA is filed under the name plant metagenome. Its description in RNAcentral is "partial contains small subunit ribosomal RNA and internal transcribed spacer 1". The stretch from base 1 to 46 matches the Rfam family "Eukaryotic small subunit ribosomal RNA", at positions 1786 to 1831 of the family's 1831-position model. The record is from RNAcentral.
AAGUCGUAACAAGGUCUCCGUUGGUGAACCAGCGGAGGGAUCAUUAACGAGUUCCGUACUCCAAACCCUUUGUGAACAUACCUGUUUCCGUUGCUUCGGCAGGCCUCGCCGGUCCCCCAGCGGGCGGGCGGGCCUGCCGGAGGGGCACACAGACUCUGUAUUCCGAAACGUACCUCUCUGAGUUAUCUUUACAAACAAGUAAAAA